GAAGGUGGCUCAGUGGUAGAGCUCUUGCCUUGCAUGCAUGAGGUCCUGGGUUCGAUUCCUCAGCACUUCA
RNAcentral lists this transfer RNA (70 nucleotides) under Dipodomys ordii (Ord's kangaroo rat). It matches the Rfam family "tRNA". From Rfam's summary of the family: Transfer RNA (tRNA) molecules are approximately 80 nucleotides in length. Their secondary structure includes four short double-helical elements and three loops (D, anti-codon, and T loops). Further hydrogen bonds mediate the characteristic L-shaped molecular structure. tRNAs have two regions of fundamental functional importance: the anti-codon, which is responsible for specific mRNA codon recognition, and the 3' end, to which the tRNAs corresponding amino acid is attached (by aminoacyl-tRNA synthetases). tRNAs cope with the degeneracy of the genetic code in two manners: having more than one tRNA (with a specific anti-codon) for a particular amino acid; and 'wobble' base-pairing, i.e. permitting non-standard base-pairing at the 3rd anti-codon position. Lineage: Eukaryota; Metazoa; Chordata; Mammalia; Rodentia; Heteromyidae. The record is from Rfam by way of RNAcentral.